AGAGUUUGAUCCUGGCUCAGGACGAACGCUGGCGGCGUGCCUAACACAUGCAAGUCGAACGGAGAAUUUCAAAGAGCUUGCUUAGAGAAAUUUUUAGUGGCGGACGGGUGAGUAACGCGUGGGUAACCUACCCAUAAACCCGGGACAACCCUUGGAAACGAGGGCUAAUACCGGAUAAUCUUUGAGAGUGGCAUCACUCUUUAAGAAAAGGUGGCCUCUGAAAAUGCUACCGAUUAUGGAUGGACCCGCGUCUGAUUAGCUAGUUGGUGGGGUAAAGGCCUACCAAGGCGACGAUCAGUAGCCGGCCUGAGAGGGUGAACGGCCACACUGGGACUGAGACACGGCCCAGACUCCUACGGGAGGCAGCAGUGGGGAAUCUUCCGCAAUGGACGAAAGUCUGACGGAGCAACGCCGCGUGUAUGAUGAAGGUCUUCGGAUUGUAAAGUACUGUCUUUGGGGAAGAAUGACUGAUUUGAAAAUAUUGAGUCAGUAUGACGGUACCCAAGGAGGAAGCCCCGGCUAACUACGUGCCAGCAGCCGCGGUAAUACGUAGGGGGCAAGCGUUGUCCGGAAUUAUUGGGCGUAAAGGGCGCGUAGGCGGAUAGUUAAGUCCGGUGUGAAAGAUCAGGGCUCAACCCUGAGAGUGCAUCGGAAACUGGUUAUCUUGAGGACAGGAGAGGAAAGUGGAAUUCCACGUGUAGCGGUGAAAUGCGUAGAUAUGUGGAGGAACACCAGUGGCGAAGGCGACUUUCUGGACUGUAACUGACGCUGAGGCGCGAAAGCGUGGGGAGCAAACAGGAUUAGAUACCCUGGUAGUCC
Molecule: ribosomal RNA, 819 nt
Filed under: uncultured bacterium
Lineage: Bacteria
Description: bacterial SSU rRNA
Rfam family: Bacterial small subunit ribosomal RNA
Source: RNAcentral